CCUACGGGGGGCAGCAGUGAGGAAUAUUGGUCAAUGGCCGGAAGGCUGAACCAGCCAAGCCGCGUGAAGGACGAAGGUGCCAAGCAUUGUAAACUUCUUUUGUCAAGGGACAAAAUCAGGCUCGAGAGCCUGACCGAGGGUACUUGAAGAAAAAGCAUCGGCACACUCCGUGCCAGCAGCAGCGGUAAUACGGAGGAGGCGAGCGUUAUCCGGAGGUAUUGGGUGAAAAGGGUGCGUAGGCGGACUGUUAAGUCAGCGGUAAAAGCCCGGGGCUCAACCCCGGCGAGCCGUUGAUACUGGCUGUCUUGAGAUGUCGAGCGGUAUGCGGAAUGCGCCGUGUAGCGGUGAACUUCUUAGAUAUUGCGCAGAACUCCGAUUGCGAAGGCAGCAUACCGGCGGCGAUCUGACGCUGAGGCACGAAAGCGUGGGUAUCGAACAGGAUUAGAUACCCCAGUAGUC
RNAcentral lists this ribosomal RNA (459 nucleotides) under uncultured bacterium. RNAcentral describes it as "partial 16S ribosomal RNA". It matches the Rfam family "Bacterial small subunit ribosomal RNA", at positions 338 to 795 of the family's 1533-position model. The record is from RNAcentral.